This 509-nucleotide long non-coding RNA is filed under the name Carica papaya (papaya). Its description in RNAcentral is "long non-coding RNA (CPAP_LNC016353)". The record is from RNAcentral. Lineage: Eukaryota; Viridiplantae; Streptophyta; Magnoliopsida; Brassicales; Caricaceae.
GCGGCGCCGUCACCGGAGUACGGCGGAGCCGCCGUGCCGGAAAUGCGAUAUUGGCCGAAAGGGGCCCUGGGCCUAAUUUGGGAUUUUUUGGAAAACGUGCAGGUACCAGUAGUGCGUUUCAGUUCCCCGGAAAAAAUUCAGAAAAAAUUUGGGACAGCCUGUAGGCGCACUGUGAAGCCGUGUUCGGACCCCGAAACGUGUAAGGACCCCUCACCCUAUCUCCUAUCACGGUAUUAAAGUUCAAUAAAUGAUAAAACGGUAUUCCAUGAAUCAACGAAUGUGUGAAAUUGCUUAAGGUCGCUAAUGGAGCCCGAGUCUAGUGUGUUUGUCGGUUAACUGUUAUUUGGCCUGUUUUACAGUUUUAAAUGCAGUAUGAGGUUUGAUGUUUUCAUUUUAUAGUUUCGUGUGCCUAUUGUACUGUUUUAUUGAUUAUGGAUUGAAUGACUGGGAUAUUGAUGUUGUAUGUUGUCUGUUCGGCAUAAAUUACUAUUUUGUUUGUUUGUAUGUAG